UAAAACGACUCUCGGCAACGGAUAUCUCGGCUCACGCAUCGAUGAAGAACGUAGCAAAAUGCGAUACUUGGUGUGAAUUGCAGAAUCCCGUGAACCAUCGAGUUUUUGAACGCAAGUUGCGCCCGAAGCCAUCUGGUUGAGGGCACGUCUGCCUGGGCGUCACGC
RNAcentral lists this ribosomal RNA (165 nucleotides) under Schkuhria pinnata. RNAcentral describes it as "5.8S subunit". It matches the Rfam family "5.8S ribosomal RNA". Rfam says of the family: 5.8S ribosomal RNA (5.8S rRNA) is a component of the large subunit of the eukaryotic ribosome. Lineage: Eukaryota; Viridiplantae; Streptophyta; Magnoliopsida; Asterales; Asteraceae. The record is from RNAcentral.